This 691-nucleotide small RNA is filed under the name Malus domestica (apple). RNAcentral's name for it is "sRNA MD10G0183400". The record is from RNAcentral. Lineage: Eukaryota; Viridiplantae; Streptophyta; Magnoliopsida; Rosales; Rosaceae.
UCGAGUCCACAUUUCACGACAUGUCCAUGAACAAUCCGACCUCGUUUUCCAUCUCUCAUUGCACCGCAAGCCUUGAGCAUAAAAGGGUACGUGUACCGGUUUGCAGCUUCCAUGCUUGAUUCACUGCACUCAACAUACUUGCCAACUAGCUUUGCAACAACAAAUGGGUUUUGCUCACAACAGUAAUUAUCUGGGCAUGGAGUUUUUUGAUUGAUCUGGUGCUUCUACAGUGCCGUAGCAAGUAGGUAUAGUGAUAAGAGUCUCUGCAAUGAAGUGUUCUGUAUGUUCUGCCACCAAUGACAAACCCCAACAAUCUGAAGGGUUCCUCCCAUGAAAUUAAAAUCUUUGAUUGCCUAGCUAGCCCAUUAAUUUGGGCUUUCAACAGCUGCAUCAUCAUAGAAGGUACAGGAGUUUACCCAGAUACCACCAUUGCAGCAGUCUACCUGUCCAUGGUAAUACAAGCUUACAAAUUGUUAUUGGAAUGCAAAAGGGAAUGAGUUCUGCUUCAUUGCUUUGUAGUCCCAAACCCUAAAUUAGCAAUUCUAAUAUUUAGUUCAAAAAUUAAGGUUCCGUGAGAGUUUCUAUCAAUCUACUCUGGACAUUGUUUGGCUCUUUAGAGCAUCUCCAAUUGAGAUGUCAAAAGAUAAAUGUCCAAUUUGAUGGCUGACGUAGUAAUGUCAGAUUUUCUCUU